Molecule: long non-coding RNA, 1076 nt
Filed under: Mytilus galloprovincialis (Mediterranean mussel)
Lineage: Eukaryota; Metazoa; Mollusca; Bivalvia; Mytilida; Mytilidae
Source: RNAcentral
UGUAUAUAAGUAUAGACUACCAUUGUACGACAUAGUUAUACUGUACUAUUAUAUAAGUAUGAACUACCAUUGUAUGACAUAGUUACACUGUAUAUACAAGUAUGAACUACCAUUGUAUGACAUAGUUAUACUGUACCAGUAUAUAAUUAUGAACUACCAUUGUAUGACAUUGUUACACUGUUUAUAAGUAUGGACUACCAUUGUAUGACAUAGUUAUACUGUACUAUUAUAUAAGUAAGAACUACCAUUUUAUGACAUUGUUACACUGUUUAUAAGUAUGGAUUACCAUUGUAUGACAUUGUUACACUGUUUAUAAGUAUGGAUUACCAUUGUAUGACAUAGGUACACUGUUUAUAAGUAUGGAGUACCAUUUACAUGUUAUUGAUUUAUCUCGUCAUACUCAUGUAGAUUCAGUAUACAGACUAUAAUGCAGAUAGCCUGUCAUAAAGAAAGUAUCAAUUCUGUUAGAAAAGUUAAACCCUAAAUACAAACAGAUAUGAAGUAUGGCUCAGUUUUAAAUAGCGACCAAAAAUAAGUUGAGACUUGCAACUAAGCUUCAAAGCACCAGAGUUCUAAGAAGAUGUUGAUAGAUAAAACUGAUAUGACAGAAUCUUAUGUAAAGAUUCGUUGAAUUUCUUAAAUCGAAGGAUCAAAGACUUAUAUUUAUGAUAACUAAAUAAAGACAAACAUUACUUAUCUUUAUGUCUACUUUGAUCUGUAUUCCCUGUGUUUAAAUAUUUUGUAAAUUUUAUAUUUCUUGUAUCACUUAUGUCUAACACUCACAGAAUAGGAGUAGUAUUUAAAACACUUAUUACAUUGAUAUGAAAUAAGCAUACAUUCUAUGGAAACUCCAAUAUUUUAAUCAAGUCUUAAGAUACAGGUAAAAUAUGACAGUUUUAUUUGUUUUGUGAGGGUCUCGAUGGGAGGUCAUUUAAAAUAACGCCUAUUCUGUAAAAUUCGCAUAAAACGAUUUUACUGUUACAUCUGUAAUUACAUUGUACAUGAUUUCUUUAUGUUUGUAUAUCGUUUAAAUCUGUAAUCAGUCUUGAAAUACUUAAUUGGUUUAAUAACCAAAG